UACGUAGGUGGCAAGCGUUGUUCGGAAUUAUUGGGCGUAAAGAGCUCGUAGGCGGUUUGUCGCGUCGAAUGUGAAAACCCGGGGCUCAACCCCGGGCCUGCAUUCGAUACGGGCAGACUAGAGUUCGGUAGGGGAGUCUGGAAUUCCUGGUGUAGCGGUGAAAUGCGCAGAUAUCAGGAGGAACACCAAUGGCGAAGGCAGCACUCUGGGACGUGACUGACGCUGAGACGCGAAAGCGUGGGGAGCAAACAGG
This 253-nucleotide ribosomal RNA is filed under the name uncultured bacterium. RNAcentral describes it as "partial 16S ribosomal RNA". It matches the Rfam family "Bacterial small subunit ribosomal RNA", at positions 524 to 776 of the family's 1533-position model. The record is from RNAcentral.